UCCGCGGCCUAUCAGCUUGUUGGUGGGGUAACGGCCUACCAAGGCUUCGACGGGUAGCUGGUCUGAGAGGACGAUCAGCCGGAUUGGGACUGAGAUACGGCCCAGACUCCUACGGGGGGCAGCAAUUAGGAAUCUUGCACAAUGGGGGCAACCCUGAUGCAGCGACGUCGCGUGGAGGAUGAAAUCUUUCGGGAUGUAAACUCCUUUUCUCAGGGAAGAAAAAAAUGACGGUACCUGAGGAAUAAGCCCCGGCCAACUACGUGCCAGCAGCCGCGGUAACACGUAGGGGGCAAGCGUUGUCCGGAUUUAUUGGGCGUAAAGAGCUCGUAGGUGGUUCGGUAAGUCAGGUGUGAAACCUCCAGGCUCAACCUGGAGACGCCACUUGAUACUGCUGUGACUGGAGUCCGGUAGGGGAGCGUGGAAUUCCUGGUGUAGCGGUGAAAUGCGCAGAUAUCAGGAGGAACACCAGCGGCGAAGGCGGCGCUCUGGGCCGGUACUGACACUGAGGAGCGAAAGCGUGGGCAGCAAACAGGAUUAGAUACCCCGGUAGUCCACGCCGUAAACGUUGGGCACUAGGUGUGGGUCACAACCAACGUGAUCUGUGCCGUAGCUAACGCAUUAAGUGCCCCGCCUGGGGAGUACGG
RNAcentral lists this ribosomal RNA (644 nucleotides) under uncultured bacterium. Its description in RNAcentral is "bacterial SSU rRNA". It matches the Rfam family "Bacterial small subunit ribosomal RNA", at positions 230 to 885 of the family's 1533-position model. The record is from RNAcentral.